RNAcentral lists this long non-coding RNA (1008 nucleotides) under Monodelphis domestica (gray short-tailed opossum). RNAcentral's name for it is "lncRNA (ENSMODG00000036661.1)". The record is from RNAcentral. Lineage: Eukaryota; Metazoa; Chordata; Mammalia; Didelphimorphia; Didelphidae.
AUGUUGAAAGCUUUUGUUCUUUUCCUGCCUCUGUUGUUGUCUCUGUCUCUCUCAUACUGUCUCUGUCUGCCUGUCUGUCCAUCUGUCUGUCUGUCUCUCAAUGUCUUUGUCUCUGUCUGUCUGCCUCUCUCUCUCACUGUCUUUGUCUCUGUCUGCCUGUCUGUCCAUCUGUCUGUCUGUCUCUCAUUGUCUUUGUCUCUGUUUGUCUGCCUCUCUCUCUCAUUGUCUUUGUCUCUGUCUGCCUGUCUGUCUAUCUGUCUGUCUGUCUCUCAUUGUCUUUGCCUCUGUUUGUCUGCCUCUCUCUCUCAUUGUCUUUGUCUCUGUCUGUCUAUCCAUCUGUCUGUCUGUCUCUCAUUGUCUUUGUCUCUGUUUGCCUCUCUCUCUCAUUGUCUUUGUCUCUGUCUGUCUGUCUAUCCAUCUGUCUGUCUGUGUCUCAUUGUCUUUGUCUCUGUUUGUCUGCCUCUCUCUCUCAUUGUCUUUGUCUCUGUCUGCCUGCCUGUCCAUCUGUCUGUCUGUCUCUCAUUGUCUUUGUCUCUGUUUGUCUGCCUCUCUCUCUCAUACUGUCUCUGUCUGCCUGUCUGUCCAUCUGUCUGUCUGUCUCUCAUUGUCUUUGUCUCUGUUUGUCUGCCUCUCUCUCUCAUUGUCUUUGUCUCUGUCUAUCUGUCUAUCCAUCUGUCUGUCUGUGUCUCAUUGUCUUUGUCUCUGUUUGUCUGUCUCUCUCUCUCAUUGUCUUUGUCUCUGUCUGCCUGUCUGUCCAUCUGUCUGUCUGUCUCUCAUUGUCUGUCUCUGUUUGUCUGCCUCUCUCUCUCAUUGUCUUUGUCUCUGUCUGCCUGUCUAUCCAUCUGUCUGUCUGUCUCUCAUUGUCUUUGCCUCUGUUUGUCUGCCUCUCUCUCUCAUUGUCUCUGUCUGUCUGUCUCCCUCCCUCCAUUCUUCCUAUUUCCCUUUCCCUCUUGCUACCUUUCUUUCAUUUGGAGCAAUUUAUCCACAGAAAUUACUAACAAUUUUUAG